CGAACGCUGGCGGCGUGCCUAAUACAUGCAAGUAGAACGCACAGUUUAUACCGUAGCUUGCUACACCAUAGACUGUGAGUUGCGAACGGGUGAGUAACGCGUAGGUAACCUGCCUGGUAGCGGGGGAUAACUAUUGGAAACGAUAGCUAAUACCGCAUAAUAUUAAUUAUUGCAUGAUAAUUAAUUGAAAGGUGCAAUUGCACCACUACCAGAUGGACCUGCGUUGUAUUAGCUAGUAGGUGAGGUAACGGCUCACCUAGGCGACGAUACAUAGCCGACCUGAGAGGGUGAUCGGCCACACUGGGACUGAGACACGGCCCAGACUCCUACGGGAGGCAGCAGUAGGGAAUCUUCGGCAAUGGACGAAAGUCUGACCGAGCAACGCCGCGUGAGUGAAGAAGGUUUUCGGAUCGUAAAGCUCUGUUGUAAGAGAAGAACGGGUGUGAGAGUGGAAAGUUCACACUGUGACGGUAUCUUACCAGAAAGGGGCGGCUAACUACGUG
This 503-nucleotide ribosomal RNA is filed under the name uncultured bacterium. Its description in RNAcentral is "partial 16S ribosomal RNA". It matches the Rfam family "Bacterial small subunit ribosomal RNA", at positions 30 to 507 of the family's 1533-position model. The record is from RNAcentral.